GGAUUGAACACAUAUACUAAAACUGGAAUGAUAAAGAGAAGAUUAACAUGGCCCUUGUGCAAGGAUGACACACAAAUUCAUGAAGCGUUCCAUAUUUUU
Molecule: small nuclear RNA, 99 nt
Organism: Loxodonta africana (African savanna elephant)
Lineage: Eukaryota; Metazoa; Chordata; Mammalia; Proboscidea; Elephantidae
Source: Ensembl